This 21-nucleotide small nuclear RNA is filed under the name Arabidopsis thaliana (thale cress). RNAcentral describes it as "snRNA_16008". The record is from RNAcentral. Lineage: Eukaryota; Viridiplantae; Streptophyta; Magnoliopsida; Brassicales; Brassicaceae.
AUCGGACGUCUUCGGCGUUCG